This is a long non-coding RNA of Amphiprion ocellaris (clown anemonefish), 3375 nucleotides long. NCBI's taxonomy places the organism in Eukaryota, Metazoa, Chordata, Actinopteri, Pomacentridae. The record is from Ensembl.
AUGGGAAAUGAAAUCUUGAUAAGUUACUUGAAAUUUAGUUUUGCACAUUUUAAUAAUUGUGUUAAAUGUAGUGAAAAACAGAACAUCGUUAAUUGCAGUGAACAUCAAUUUGAUCAGUUUACCCAUUCUAUAUAUAAUUGUGUAAGCAUUGCCCAGCAUGUGUUUCCAUUUCCUCCUCUGUCAGAUAUUUCACUGUUCCUGCAUUGUCAGUCGUUCUGAUGAUGCGAAAUUUGUCAUUUUGUCUUAAUGUCCAACCACAAACCCAGACUCACUGUUGUUUGUGAAAGUGAUCAUAGCUCGGUCAGUUCCUCUGAAGUUUAGCAAGGUUGACACUAAGCUUGGGCGAAUUCUGUGAAGUUUUGUUGUGAAACCAGCUGAUUUUGGCUUGGUGCAUUCAUUGUGGUCAAAUGAGAAACCUGAGAAGUCUGCUCACUUCUAGUUUGACCUCAGAUGCUGGUUUGCUUACAGUCUGAGGAUGUACUUUGGUGGAUAAAGCAAAUUAUAACUCAUAGAAAAGAUGGCUAAAACUACAAAAAUAUGAUGCAAGUUGGAUUACGUUGUGAGAGCUAAACAAUCAUUUAAAUGCAACUGUCCUAUGAAAUGCCAGUCUAGUCAGUAGCGGUAGGGCGUUAUGUUAAAUAUCUGACCAGAGUGGACAGCUAAAACGGAACCAGCCCGUUCUGUACUUUAUUCAAACUGAAACUUCAAUCACCCAUCAAUGUGUUGGAUCUUUCUCAGAAAGACAUUUGAAUGUUUAACACAGGUACUUCUGCCAGCUAGGUACAGUGAGAAGUUUCCCCAGUGGCCUUGUGUGUUGAAGCAUCAGGGCCAAAGUUCUUUCAGUGCCAUGUCCAUUUCAUGUCCAUGUUGUGCAAGUUCAUACCCACAUGAACUGACUACAAAUGGCAUAGUGUCAACAUUUCUUUUGAUGCUUUUGUUUACCAAAUUUUGUUUUUCAGUGCUGUACAAGGCAAAUUCUGAAAUUUUGGGAAAUAGAUUUGUUGUAAAACCCAUAGUUAGACUGCGCUAGAAAAUACUAGUUCAUCAAGUUCAUGAUUCAGGAUGUUUUUGGUUUAGCAAAUAUCAGACCAACUUAGCUGUGGUUUAGAAUGAGCUGGGCUAAACCUGGUUUGCAGAUUUAAGGUAAACCUUGGAUACAGUGAUGACUUGUGGCUUUUACGUGGUCUCCACAGGUCACAGAAACUAGCUUUGGCUACUAAAAAAGUGAAGAAAUGUCUCAAAUUGGGAUCUCCUAGUGGUUUAGGGGUUUGAAUCAUUUCAGUCAACACAAUGCCUGCUGGAGUAUUUUUUCACAUUUACCGUAGCUCGGCUACCACUUUCCCCUGCUCCCAGUCUUUGCACUAAGCUAGUCUAAACACAUGCUAGGCUCUUACCAGAAAUCUCUUUAUAAUUUCAAAUGAAAAAAAAUAAGCACAUCUUUGCAUUUCACUGUGGUUUAAAAGCAAAUAAGAUUUAGAAAAAGAUGGAUGCAUUUUUCUUAAUCUUACCAUUUCACUUUAAUACUUAAAUGACAUUCCAUUAGCUUUCUUUAAUGCUGGUGAUUUUUUUGUGUUUAUUUACACUUUUCAUUGUCUUCCAGUGAGUUAUGGGAACAAGGCCAUGCUAGAUUGUUUAUUUCAUUACAUUUUAUAUUUUUGCUUAUGGUGAAUGUAUGUUUUUCAACACUUAGCUACUUUGAAUAUAUUAAGUGGUAUUUCCUUCUGUAAUGAUCCACUCUCACAUCUAUGUUAUAUACAUUUCACACAGAUUCUUCAUUUACCUUCAUGUGUACAUCACUGUAUAAGUUACCAUGUUAAGAUGAUUGUGAAUUUUAAGCCAUUCAUUAACUUACUUGCAGUACAUUUUUGAGAUACCUUCUCAUUCCUGGAAACAUACACUUUGCAUUCAGCAAAGAAAAAUCUUACCCUAGUUCCAGUGCCAAAUUGUUCUGUGUUUAUCCCAUAAGGAACGAGAACACGAGACAAAUCCUUGAAGUCAGUAUCCAUGAGAUAGACUUUUGGGCAGAUUGUACUUUUUUUUUUUUUCUUCUGAGGGUUUUUGUGUUUCAUGGAAGUUUGCUAAAUGGUCACUGUAGCAUGUUAUUGUAUGACAAGGAAAACAUCAAGCCAUUAUCAUUUGGGGCCUAGGGAAAGGUCAACAGGACUGUAUUCCACAGCAGGAAAAGAGCAUUUAUCGUUGAAUCUGAAAAGGCAAAAAGAAGAUAUUUUCAAAUUGAGAUGAAAUGUUUCUAACCUAUUGUGUAUUCCUGCAGGAUGUAAAAUACAUUUGAACUUGCCAGUUGUCUGUAAAAUGUUCAUGUGUUAAAGGUUGAUGUCAUGCCUAACUGAUUUGUCAUUCAGUAUUUUUGAAGGAGAAAAUCCUCUAAAAGAGUACUUGAAAAAUAUCUGGUUUUACAAAUGUGCUAAAUGUUCAGAUUGUUUACAAAGAACACAGGAGAUUGGAAUGGUGACUUAAUAUUUUAUACUUUUUUAAAAAAAAAUUGUUUACUCAAGAAAACAACCUCUUCAAUGAACAGCAGGCCUUUAUCCCAUCACCGUGAGAAAAUGAGAUCCUUGUCUUGUUGAGGUUAGAAAACUAGAUCACCAAUGAUUGGAAAACAAGACUAAAAUAAGGCCUGAUUUCUGUGAAUUUAAAAAAAGUAUCUCUUUCCAUUUAUCUUGAACAAAUAGCAUUUGAUUUAGUUGUCCUUUGUGUCUUUUAUAUACAGGGAAAAUAAGGUAUUGGUCCCAUUAUUCUCAACAAAAUGUUAAUCUGCUUGGUUGUUAAUAAUUAAAUAACAAAAUAACUCAUUAAAUGUAACCAUGGCCACUGUCAGCUUCCUGACAGAAGUGGAAUAUUUCUAUGUUUACUUGUUUUCUCGCCAUCACAAACUGUCUCCAAAUUGAUGGAUGUUACCAUUCAACACUGGGAUAUUGGGUAAGCAUAUGAUGUCUUUUCACUAAUGAUCACUAGAAGGGUUAUAUUAAGGUUACAACAACUAUUCAUUGGCCAUUAGAAACAAAACUUUCUUGAGCGUUCUGUUAUUGAGGUAAUGUCUUCAGGGAUGACACAAAUUGCUCUUGUGGCAGGUAAAAUGUAGUGUAUGCCGUAUUAAAAUGUCUUGGAUGAUGUCAUGUCACUGUGUCCAGUAAGUCAAUGAGGCAUUUUCUAAUGAUGUUGGGUUUUGGAUGUCAAUAAUGCUAGUUUUCAGAAUCCUGGAAACAACACUGGUGAACUGUGUUAAGGAUGGAUUUGUGUUUUCAAUGACUGAUGUGCAGGAGAUGACACCUGCCAUGUGCCAAAUGAAUAUUGUACUAAUGCACUUUGAACAGAUAUUUUUACUUUGCAGAAAAUAAAAAUAAAAAACAAUAUCCA